RNAcentral lists this long non-coding RNA (412 nucleotides) under Phoenix dactylifera (date palm). RNAcentral's name for it is "long non-coding RNA (PDAC_LNC013086)". Lineage: Eukaryota; Viridiplantae; Streptophyta; Magnoliopsida; Arecales; Arecaceae. The record is from RNAcentral.
AAUGUAUAUCACACGUCUCAAUUCAGACAAGCUCUUUUCAAUCUUCUAAAUUUAUUUUAAUGAAUUAUUCUUUUAUAAAACAAUAAUAUAGCACUUUCUAGAUAAUAAUUUUUCUAGUAUUAUGCACACAGACAAAAUUCAAACGAUCCAAAUGCUCUUGUAUGCAAUUUCUGCAGAAAGCCUACGAAAGGAGGGAUAUAUUGGGCCAAGCAACAUCUUGUUGGAGGACACCACAAUGCCAAAGCUUGUCGGAAAUGACCCUAACGCGCCAAGAAGGAGGUAAGGGAAUACAUGGCAAGCAAAGGAGCAAAAAUAACAAGCUAAUUUAUUGGAAUAUUAUGCUGCUGAUGAUGACGACGACGAUGAGGAUGAACAUGAUAUUGUGAAGGUGGAUCGUCGUGGAAAGGGGCCU